This 288-nucleotide ribosomal RNA is filed under the name uncultured bacterium. Its description in RNAcentral is "partial 16S ribosomal RNA". It matches the Rfam family "Bacterial small subunit ribosomal RNA", at positions 29 to 339 of the family's 1533-position model. The record is from RNAcentral.
AGCGAACGCUAGCGGCGGGCCUAACACAUGCAAGUCGAGCGCAUACCUUCGGGUAUGAGCGGCGGACGGGUGAGUAACGCGUAGGUCAUCUACCCUUUGGUGGGGGAUAACCCAGGGAAACUUGGGCUAAUACCGCACGAGGUCUACGGAUCAAAGCCUUCGGGCGCCAGAGGAUGAGCCUGCGUCGCAUUACCUAGUUGGCGGGGUAACGGCCCACCAAGGGGACGAUGCGUAGCUGGUCUGAGAGGAUGAUCAGCCACACUGGGACUGAGACACGGCCCAGACCCU